Molecule: ribosomal RNA, 419 nt
Filed under: bacterium
Lineage: Bacteria
Description: partial 16S ribosomal RNA
Rfam family: Bacterial small subunit ribosomal RNA
Source: RNAcentral
UGGGGGAUAUUGCACAAUGGGCGAAAGCCUGAUGCAGCGACGCCGCGUGGGGGAUGAAGGCCUUCGGGUUGUAAACUUCUUUUGCUCUGAACAAGGCGCACCAUGGGGUGUGUUGAGUGUAGGGGUUGAUUAGCGCCGGCUAACUACGUGCCAGCAGCCGCGGUAAUACGUAGGGCGCGAGCGUUGUCUGGAAUUAUUGGGCGUAAAGGGCUUGUAGGUGGCUGGUUGCGUCUGUCGUGAAAGCUCAUGGCUUAACUGUGGGUUUGCGGUGGGUACGGGCGGGCUUGGGUGCAGUAGGGGAGGCUGGAAUUCCUGGUGUAGCGGUGGAAUGCGAAGAUAUCAGGAGGAAUACCGGUGGCGAAGGCGGGUCUCUGGGCUGUUACUGACACUGAGGAGCGAAAGCAUGGGGAGCGAACAGG